Molecule: ribosomal RNA, 253 nt
Filed under: uncultured bacterium
Lineage: Bacteria
Description: partial 16S ribosomal RNA
Rfam family: Bacterial small subunit ribosomal RNA
Source: RNAcentral
UACGGAGGGUGCAAGCGUUGUCCGGAAUCACUGGGCGUAAAGGGCGCGUAGGCGGCCCGGCAAGUAGGGGGUGAAAUCCUGCGGCUUAACCGCAGGGCUGCCUUCUAAACUGUCGGGCUCGAGCACGGUAGAGGCAGAUGGAAUUCCCGGUGUAGCGGUGGAAUGCGUAGAGAUCGGGAAGAACAUCAGUGGCGAAGGCGGUCUGCUGGGCCGUUGCUGACGCUGAGGCGCGACAGCGUGGGGAGCAAGCAGG